Non-coding RNA from Podarcis lilfordi (Lilford's wall lizard), 264 nucleotides. The record is from the annotation of a GenBank genome assembly. Lineage: Eukaryota; Metazoa; Chordata; Lepidosauria; Squamata; Lacertidae.
CGUGGAAUACAGGAGUGCCUGACGUGUCUGGUCCAUGGGGUCAUGAAGAGUCGGACAUGAUGAAACGACUAAACAACAACAGCAAGCAUGUUAGGAAGCAAUUGCAUAAAAGUUUAAAAUGUUAUCAUGCUAAUCACAGCAAAUUAACAACAAAAUCUCACAUAUUUCAGUACUGUAUGUUGUUGUUGUUGUUUAGUCGUUUAGUCGUGUCCGACUCUUCGUGACCCCAUGGACCAGAGCACGCCAGGCACUCCUGUCUUCCAC